Molecule: long non-coding RNA, 354 nt
Organism: Podarcis raffonei (Aeolian wall lizard)
Lineage: Eukaryota; Metazoa; Chordata; Lepidosauria; Squamata; Lacertidae
Exons: 3
Source: RefSeq, a predicted model, not a curated record
GCACUUUUGUCUUUGGACAGCUCAAAGAGCAAAUAAUGGAAUAUAUACUACCUGUGCAUGUUUCUGAGAGAAGACUCGCAUACCUCAGAACAGCUCCUCUUUGAAGCAGACAACAUUCAGCCAGUAUAUGGAAGGCAAUCUUACUCGGCUAUGAGUGAUCGCCAAAGAAGAGGAGGAGGAGGAGGCAUAAGCGCUCUGUUCCCUUACAAAACUUUUCAAAAUGAGAGCAAAAGCAUCAAGCGAUACUGAGGACAAUCCUAGCUGUGAUCCAGAAUCGUCUUUCAACAGAGUGCUGGAGAGUAUCUUGACUAUUCUUCUACAGUUCUCCAUGCCAUGUUGUGAACAAGGAUUUUC